Molecule: non-coding RNA, 29 nt
Filed under: Mus musculus (house mouse)
Lineage: Eukaryota; Metazoa; Chordata; Mammalia; Rodentia; Muridae
Source: RNAcentral
UGCUAAGCCUGCUUGCCCUAACAUUCUGC